AGCGAACGCUGGCGGCAGGCCUAACACAUGCAAGUCGAACGAACUCUUCGGAGUUAGUGGCGGACGGGUGAGUCACACGUGGGAACGUGCCUUUUGGUUCGGAAUAACUCAGGGAAACUUGUGCUAAUACCGAAUGUGCCCUUCGGGGGAAAGAUUUAUCGCCCUUAGAGCGGCCCGCGUCGGAUUAGCUAGUUGGUGAGGUAACGGCUCACCAAGGCGACGAUCAGUAGCUGGUCUGAGAGGAUGACCAGCCACACUGGGACUGAGACACGGCCCAGACUCCUACGGGAGGCAGCAGUGGGGAAUCUUGCGCAAUGGGCGAAAGCCUGACGCAGCCAUGCCGCGUGAAUGAUGAAGGUCUUAGGAUUGUAAAAUUCUUUCACCGGGGACGAUAAUGACGGUACCCGGAGAAGAAGCCCCGGCUAACUUCGUG
This 433-nucleotide ribosomal RNA is filed under the name uncultured bacterium. RNAcentral describes it as "partial 16S ribosomal RNA". It matches the Rfam family "Bacterial small subunit ribosomal RNA", at positions 29 to 507 of the family's 1533-position model. The record is from RNAcentral.